GACGAACGCUGGCGGCGUGCUUAACGCAUGCAAGUCGAACGGGAAGGCCCUGCGGUUGUUGGGGGCGCGAGUGGCGAAGGGAUAAGUAACACGUGAGUAACCUGCCCGGGACUUGGGGAUAACUUCAGGAAACUGGUGCUCAUACCGGAUACGAGCGCCGGCGGCAUGGUGGGGGGUGGAGAGUGUCGGCGGUUGGGGAUGGACUCGCGGCGUGUCAGCUUGUUGGUGGGGUAGUGGCUUACCAAGGCAUUGACGGGUGGCCGGCCUGGGAGGGUGGCCGGCCACCUUGGGACUGAGAUACGCCCCAGACUCAUACGGGAGGGAGGCGUGAGGAAUGUUGCACCAUGGGCGGAAGCAUGACGCAGCGACGCAGGCUGCGGGAUGACGGCCUUCGGGUUGUAAACAGACUCCGCUUGUGACGAAGCGUGAGUGACGGUAAUCGGUAAAGAAGCACCGGCUAACUACGUG
RNAcentral lists this ribosomal RNA (468 nucleotides) under uncultured bacterium. Its description in RNAcentral is "partial 16S ribosomal RNA". It matches the Rfam family "Bacterial small subunit ribosomal RNA", at positions 28 to 507 of the family's 1533-position model. The record is from RNAcentral.